CUGCCUUUAGGUGGGGGAUAGCAGACCGAAAGGUCUAUUAAUACCGCAUAUGUAUGCACUUAGACAUUUGUGCAUAUGAAAGGAGCAAUUUGCCUGAAGAUGAGCCUGCGUCCGAUUAGCUAGUUGGUAGGGUAACGGCCUACCAAGGCGACGAUCGGUAGGUGGUCUGAGAGGAUGAUCACCCACAAUGGGACUGAGACACGGCCCAU
This 209-nucleotide ribosomal RNA is filed under the name uncultured bacterium. Its description in RNAcentral is "partial 16S ribosomal RNA". It matches the Rfam family "Bacterial small subunit ribosomal RNA", at positions 126 to 334 of the family's 1533-position model. The record is from RNAcentral.